AUGGAGUCUUGCUCUGCUGCCCAGGCUGGUGUGCAAUGGCACAAUCUCAGCUCACUGUGACCUCAGCUUCCCAGAUUCAAACGAUUCUCCCCCCUCAGCCUCCCAAUCCCCCACCCCCCACCCCUGCGAGUAGCUGGGAUUACAGGCACCCGCCAUCGUGCCUGGCUAAUUUUUGUAUUUUUGUAGAGACAAGGUUUCACCAUGUUGGCCAGGCUGGUCUUGAACUGACCUCAGGUGAUCCACCCACCUUCGCCUCCCAAGUGGUGAAAUAACAGGUGUGAGCCACCGCUCCCCAACUCAACCCAAAUUUUUAAAAUGGGCAGAGUAUUUGAACAGGUUCCCCAACAAAGAAGAUACACAUGGCAAAUAAGCGCACAAAUGAAUGCUCAACACCACUAGUAAUUAAGGGAAUUCAAUUACUACUUACUGGAGGCUAAGAGACCAGUUAGGGGGUUAUGAGAGAAAUUGUGGAUUAAAAUUAUAUAUGAUAGAAGUGGUUGGGAUGGAGAGGAGAGGAUAUGAGGAAUAUCGAGGAGAUAAAAUUGCAAAAACUUCACACUUGGUUGGAAGUGGAAGCUGACGUGUAAGAGAAUCAGCAAUGAUUCUCAGUUUUCCAAUUUGAGCAAAGGAGUGGAGGCCACUGAUAGACUCUGAGGUAAUGAAACACAAGGUGGAGCAGAUCUAGGCGGGUAUGGAGGAAGAGAUGUGAUCAUUGAAGUAUUUCCUUUGUUGUUGUGUUGUUGGAAUAUUGUAAGUCAAAUCCCUGACAUCAUGUUGUUCCAUCUCUACACACUUUAACAUGUAUCACUAAAAGUAGGGACACUUUCUCCCAUAAUCACAGUGCUGUGAUCCCUCCUGAGGAUAUGCUCAAUGAUUCUGAUUAUCAUCCCAUACAUAGUCCACAGUCAUAUAUACUUGAUUAUCACGAGUAUCUCUCUUUUUGCAGUCUACUUAUUGGAAUCAAAAUCCUGACAAGGUCCACCCUGCACACCACAUUCUCACAAAGGUCCUCUCGUCCUGAGCAGUCCUCCCUGCCACUGAUUUGUUGUCCUUCACAAUGUCCCACAAUCUGCGCCUGUCUUUGUUCUCCUUCGUGGUGCUUCUUAACUUCUUCUAUGCCCUGAAUUUCCUAUAAUGGGGAAGGAGCUCUAAAGCCUGGUCAUAGGAACACUUCAUGAACAGUACUGUGCAUGGCACACGAUCUCUAGCCAUCCCACUUGUCACGCUAAAAUCGAUGACUCGCUUCUGGUGGUGUCAGCCUGACUCUUUGGACAUGCUGAGUAACCAGAGUGAGAAAGGAAGAGGGCUUCAACCAGAGGAAGAGGAGCAGAGAAAACAGGGAAGGAGAAUUCAGGGAAUUGUGGAAAAUUGAGGGAGCAGCAGCAUGGGGGCUGAAGAAAGAAGGGUCGAGUGUCGCUGGGCAGCCAAGAAGAGACAAACGGGUCAGAUGGUUUUCACAAUUGAUGGCUGAUAACUUGUAUGAGAGCAGCUUUAAUGGAGGGAUUAAGGUGUAAGUCAGAUUGCCCUGGAUGGCAGUGUGAAUAGGGGUGGGAAGUGGAGGGGAAGGAAUAUCAAUAACAAUUUCAGGAAUUUGGCUGUAAGACGGGGGAAAGAGAUGGGAGACGUGAGCAUGGGAAGACGGAUGUUGAAAAAAGAGGUUGUGUUUAUUCUGUGGCUGUUUUGAUGGGAGAGACAUUCAUGCUGGGAGGUUGAAUAUUUAGGAACCAUAAGGAACUAUUACUAACAAAGAAAGUUCCAGAAACAUUCCUGGUUGGAAGGUUUCACUGUUUUGUUCAUUCAUUUCAUAUAUUUUUCUAACUCUCUACCAUUGUUUUUUGUUGUGAGCUCAACUGGUCUAGGAGACACAGAUUUUGAAACAUGAUGAAAUUAUUCAGUAAAGCUGGUGUUAGAUGC
RNAcentral lists this long non-coding RNA (1914 nucleotides) under Pongo abelii (Sumatran orangutan). Its description in RNAcentral is "lincRNA". Lineage: Eukaryota; Metazoa; Chordata; Mammalia; Primates; Hominidae. The record is from RNAcentral.